AUGCCGAACUCUGGAGAGCGGCACCCGCCAUUCGUGGCGAGCGUGCCCACCGAAGGGGCGCACGAGGACGGGGUCCGGCAGGAUCCGCCUUGUAAUCUCUCAGGUAUCGAGGACAGAGGGGUCAUC
The sequence is a regulatory RNA element, 126 nucleotides long. It matches the Rfam family "Glycine riboswitch aptamer". From Rfam's summary of the family: This family represents the bacterial glycine riboswitch. Glycine riboswitches usually consist of two metabolite-binding aptamers domains with similar structures in tandem. The record is from Rfam.